AGAGUUUGAUCAUGGCUCAGGAUGAACGCUAGCUACAGGCUUAACACAUGCAAGUCGAGGGGCAGCAUGUUGGUUGCUUGCAACCAAUGAUGGCGACCGGCGCACGGGUGAGUAACGCGUAUCCAACCUACCCUUGUCCAUCGGAUAACCCGUCGAAAGGCGGCCUAACACGAUAUGCGGUUCUCAGCAGGCAUCUAACGAGAACGAAAUGUGAAGGAGAAGGAUGGGGAUGCGUCUGAUUAGCUUGUUGGCGGGGUAACGGCCACCAAGGCGACGAUCAGUAGGGGUUCUGAGAGGAACGGUCCCCACAUUGGAACUGAGACACGGUCCAACUCCGUACGGGGGCA
RNAcentral lists this ribosomal RNA (347 nucleotides) under uncultured bacterium. RNAcentral's name for it is "bacterial SSU rRNA". It matches the Rfam family "Bacterial small subunit ribosomal RNA", at positions 8 to 350 of the family's 1533-position model. The record is from RNAcentral.